UACAGAGGGCGCGAGCGUUGUCCGGAAUCAUUGGGCGUAAAGAGCGUGUAGGCGGCCCGAUAAGUCCGCUGUGAAAGUCCAGGGCUCAACCCUGGGAUGCCGGUGGAUACUGUCGGGCUCGAGUCCGGAAGAGGAGUGUGGAAUUCCUGGUGUAGCGGUGAAAUGCGCAGAUAUCAGGAGGAACACCAAUGGCGAAGGCAGCACUCUGGGACGUGACUGACGCUGAGACGCGAAAGCGUGGGGAGCAAACAGG
This 253-nucleotide ribosomal RNA is filed under the name uncultured bacterium. RNAcentral's name for it is "partial 16S ribosomal RNA". It matches the Rfam family "Bacterial small subunit ribosomal RNA", at positions 524 to 776 of the family's 1533-position model. The record is from RNAcentral.